UACAGAGGUCUCGAGCGUUCAACGGAUUCAUUGGGCUUAAAGCGUACGUAGGCGGAUGUGCAGGCGUCGUGUGAAAGCCCUCGGCUCAACCGAGGAAUUGCACGGCGAACCGCAUGUCUUGAGACAAGUAGGGGCGGUCGGAACGAUAGGUGGAGUGGUGAAAUGCGUUGAUAUCUAUCGGAACGCCGAUGGUGAAGACAGGCCGCUGGGCUUGUUCUGACGCUGAGGUACGAAAGCAUGGGGAGCGAACGGG
Molecule: ribosomal RNA, 253 nt
Filed under: uncultured bacterium
Lineage: Bacteria
Description: partial 16S ribosomal RNA
Rfam family: Bacterial small subunit ribosomal RNA
Source: RNAcentral